Phrynosoma platyrhinos (Desert horned lizard) is the source of this 72-nucleotide non-coding RNA. Lineage: Eukaryota; Metazoa; Chordata; Lepidosauria; Squamata; Phrynosomatidae. The record is from the annotation of a GenBank genome assembly.
GCCAGUGUGGUGCAAUGGUUUGACCACUGGACUAUGACUCUGGAGACCAAGGUUUGAUUCCCAGCUCAGCCA